CACUGAUCACUACCGCGCUGCUGGGGACAGUGGGGAGGGCGUCACGCUCUGUGCAGGGUGCGCCGGGCCAACCCCAGUCCACGUGCACCCAAAGGUCCCCUCCACUAGUGCCCCAGGGGUCACAGCUUCCUGGCAGUGGGCAGCCCUGGAGUGCAUGCUGCCCUGGGUGACAGUGGCCCUCGGGUGGGCUGGAGCUGCACACAGGCAGGCCUGGCUGCUCCCGGCGCUGCGGUGGGGUGGGACGCCAGCCCCGUGGUGGAGAGGUCUGGCUCCCGGCCUGCUCACGGAAUCUGCACGUCCACAUCCAGAGAAGCCCUUUAAGAUCCUUUUACACUUAACUUCUGAGGUCCUUGUCAGGCCAGGGCCGCCCAUGCCUUAGGACAGAAGUUCUCCCUGUGAUCUGAGACUGCAGGCGGGAGGGCAAGUGUCACCGCAGCCCCCUCCCGCUGCGAGCCAAGCUGGAGGCCCCAGAGCGGCUGCCAUUAAUCAAUACUGAGAGGAAGCCUGGCUUUCCUUCCCUGCCUGCACCAGCUCACACCUCGUGGGCAUCAAAGGACGAGCCAGAGGGCUGGAAGGAGGGACCGAUGGGUGAGCAGCCUGCCUGGGACUGGGCAAGGGAAGGAGGUGAGAAUCCUCAGGGCUGGAGGCCAGUAAGGGGAGAUGGGAUGGAAGAUGAAAGGGGCAGAGCCCAGGGACUGUGCUCCCCACCGAGUGUGAGACGAUGACGGGACAGGCAGGCGGGUGGGGUGGCGGCUUCCUCCCCUGCUGUUCCUGCUGCGGCUCCUGGCUGUCCCUGGGGUCAUCGGACAGCUUUCACAGCAUGGUGCCCACUGACCAGAGACUGGGUGGCCCUUGUCUGGGUGUCGGUCCCCCAAACUCAGCGUGGUGUUUUGCAACCACCGUGACAUGGGCUCCUGAGCCUGAGCCUCUCCCUCAACUCCAGGCUCAUUUGGAGACGGCAGGUCUGUCCCGUGACUUCCAUGUCUGUGCUCUGAAGAUGCCGCACCAGGUGCGGCUCUCCAGGACCCAGAGGCCACCGCAGGUGUGCAGGGAAGCCCGGCUCCCUUGCCCCAGGCCCCGGCCUGCGCACUCUGGGGGGGCUCUCAUCGGAGCAGAAACAGGCCAGCACGGGGCGGGGUGGGGGGACUGCCCAGCUGCCACGGCUGCUCUGGCCCUUGCUGGUCGGGCCUGGAGGAAGGCAAAGGGCCCUUGUUAACCUGUGCCUCCAAAAGCCACAGCAGGGCCUGGCUGUCCAGUCGGGCAGCAUGACCAGGAGCAGCCAGGACACCACGGCCAGCACGCGCCAGCUGCCCUGCUGGCCCUCGGCAGGAGGCUGUCUUGGUAGUGCAGCAAGACAGGACAAAGGCUGAAAUCUGGGGAGAGUCCAGUCUUGGAAGGUGAAGCCACACCUGGGCAGCCAGCGGCCACCUGCUUCCCGUCAGCUGUGAACCUCCCUUGGGAGGGUGGCAGCUCUCAGGCCAACCGUCUCCCCAUGUCCACAACCCUCUGGGCAGGUAGGACUCUGCCCACUCACAGAUGGCUCUGAUGACCUGCUCCCGAGCAUGCAGCUGGGAGGGCCGGAAGGGACGUCAUUUAGCCGAGGUUAGCCCAUCAGCCUGGCUCGCUGGUCAUCAGCCGUCAGCCUGGCCAUCUCUCCAGGCACUUGACAGAUGGGCAGUUGCUAUGCCUAUUAUUAUUUUGACUCUUGUCAGAGGCAUUUUUAAAGAAACUUUGAGAUCAUUAAAGAUUCACCUGGGAGGGGAGGAGGCACAGGGGGCCCUGAGUCCCCUCCACCUACUGUCCUCAGGACAGCACCUUCCACAGCUGCUCCAUGUCACAACCAGGGCAGGGACGCUGACCUCCACCCAUGCAGCGUCCCCUCAGCCCUGUGCUCUGCGCCCUCUGGAGCCUGCUGGUCCUCGUCACUGUAGAAACACCACCUGACGUCUUCCUAUUUGAUAUUCGCAGUGUUCCAAGCGCCCUCCUGCAGGUGGCCGAUGUGCCACUGGGUCCACUGUUGGUCCCUGCGUCUGAUGCAGGAAGCGCAGAUCUCUGUCACUGGAGGAGUGGAUGACACUUUCUCACAGCACCAUGUGACCUUCCUGAGCUCCAUCUAGAAACCUCAAAAUGGCCCUCAUGCUGCCACGUGCCCAUGGUGCCAAGCGUGAGGAAUUGGAGGAGCCGCACAGCACCUGCAGUCCAGGGGGACGUGCUGGGCUACACUGCCCUGCCCUCCUGAUGCCCGGACAGUCCGCCUCGCACCUCCACCCUGCCCCAGCUCUCUGAAGGCUCUGUUUCUCUGGCCCCUUAAUGGCCUGCCAUCUUUCAACAGUUAAGAGCAUCGCUAGUAAGAGGUUUGAGGACAAUUUGCAUCACUUGACGGAGGCUGGAUUUCUGGGAGGUGGAUAGGUUUGAGUACUGAGGGUGAAGUCCUGGCUAAUUCUGAUGACUUGAAAUAAUAAACAGCUUCACACCCUCCAUUGUCCUGGGGCCCAGUGGAAACUGAGCGGCAGCAGCCCCGGAGCCCACUAGGACUCGAGCUCUGAGUGAGCCCACCUGCCCGGCCUCCUGCACCGGGACAGGGUGGGACAGGGUGGUCAAGCCCCUUGUGAUAAGCAAGUUCCCCUUCACUGUUCUUUUCCUCUUUCUGAAUCAGUAAGAGACAGUGCCCUUUCCUGCCCUCUGACUCAGCCCCUCUGCCGCAAGCUCAGGGCUCGGGGCUGGAAUCCACCAGGCUACAGCUUCGUUGCAAUCCGAGGACUCGUUCCUGUUCUGUGAAUGUCCUGCAGGGUGACGUGGGAGGGCAGUCCUCUUCCACUUGCAAGAGCCACAGAGAGUUUCCUUUCUCAGUAUUUAAAAAUUAAAGUAGGUUGAUUCUAAAAAUAAUCAGCAGAUAAGCAUGGGGUGGCAAAAGUUCCCCCAAACCUGAUGCUUUUGACCUACCUGGGAGGUGAGGUGUUGGGAACACUGACCUAGGCGACGGGGUGGACAGAGAUGGCCGCUGCCAGUCAGCACUGGAGCUGCAGGGAGCUGGCCCCUCAGGGCCACCGUCCAGCCCCCAGGUGAACAUCUCAUCUCCGCUUUCCAGAUGAUGCCCCAAGAAGUUCUAAAAACAAACGUGUUUAUUUCAAUUGUGCAAUAGGCCUCCCGUUAACUAUGAAACAAAACAUUCAUUAUAGAAAGAUUAUGUCCACGUGGACAACUUUAAGAAGUUAUUUAUUAACCAACUAUAAAGCCACCAUCCUGGGGUUGACUGCCUCGUGUAUUUUGCUGUAUAUUCUCUCUCUCUCUCUCUCUCUGUCUUGAACACAGUUUGAAUUAUAUAUAAUGUAGGA
This 3335-nucleotide long non-coding RNA is filed under the name Marmota monax (woodchuck). The record is from RNAcentral. Lineage: Eukaryota; Metazoa; Chordata; Mammalia; Rodentia; Sciuridae.